Molecule: non-coding RNA, 2796 nt
Organism: Oryza sativa Japonica Group (Japanese rice)
Lineage: Eukaryota; Viridiplantae; Streptophyta; Magnoliopsida; Poales; Poaceae
Source: RefSeq, a predicted model, not a curated record
CGCACUGAUACCCUGGCGCAGCAAAAAAUCGUUUCCCCUGAAAUCACGCUGCCGAUAGCUUCCUCUUCCCCUUGAUAUCGCUCUCCACAAAAUCGAUUAGCCUACACACGAUUUCACCAUCCACAAAAUCGCUCAGCCUCCUCCUCCGCUUGAUCUUGCUGGCCAUCUCCUUCACCACCGCUGUACGCAGCCUCGCCGGAGAUCCGCCUGACGACGGAGUUUGAGGUGGCGCGACGGAGAUCCACCAGGAGCGAAAACCAGUCUCUGCUCCCGCGGAGCACGGCCUCGACGACGCUUCCUCCUUCCCACCUCACCCCAACUCUCUCAGAUUGGCGCCGCUGCCAGCCACUCACUCGCCAUCGGCAAGAUCAGUCGCACCGCCGACCCCUCGCUCUCCCUUGCCAAGAACAGUGCCGCUGCACCUCAUCCCAGCCAUCUCCAUGACGAAGCAAGAACUACAGAUCAUGAGAUCAACAAUGGCAAGGACAGAGGGCAGGUAAAUAAAAUGGUAACAACAGCUCCCACUCCUCCAUUUUCUUAAUUUCUCUAUAAAACAUUGGAUGCCCUGAUAUAGGAUGAGCACCAUACCCAAUGAUGAGUAAUUUCUAUAGAAUUAACUGCACACCUGAUUAAUCACUUGACACACUCAGGGAGUUGUGAAAGUGAUUGGCAAAUAUUUUAUUCGUACACGGUAUCAGGUCACAAAUAUCUAUCAACUUAAGUCUCGACCUCAAGGAGUUCCUCUAAGAGUCAGGAAAAUGCUAAAAUCAGCACAAGCUAUUGAUGAAUUCAAUCAAGAUGGAGUUUGAACAGAAAAUUUGAGAUGGGAGAAGAACUUCUGUGGUUGGAAGUUGAGAUGGGAGGAUUUAGCACGACAAUACAUCCAUCACCAUGUAGUCCGCUGCCAUCUUCACCAUAUGGUGUAAAGCCUUCUGCAGUUCACUUGAUGCACAGAUAUUUUGCAUGUUAACAGCUGAGGGGUUUUGUUAAUCAUAAGGCGUGUAUCUCAUUCAAAUUAAUCAUUUUUUAGCAAACACUUCACUUUUGUUAUCCUUGAGCAACCAAGUUUACAAUUAUGUCGUUUUGAGAAUGCAAGAUUAUUUGAGAAGACUUGCUUGAUUUUCAUGGAUAUGUAGUUAGACACAGGUGCUUGACACUUUGAGAAGUGUAAGUUGGCACUUGACAGUUUCCUACUAGGCGUCCAAAAAAAACUAGCAUGCACACAAGUCUUGCAAAAUCUGAACCAUAUAGCUUAGCAACUAAUUUUUUUCAUGCAAUGCUUAGGUAUCGAACUAUUUGAUGCCUCACAACUUCUUUCGUCAUGUUCUGUAAUGCUAUAUUUUUCCUUUGCCAUUACUUAAAGAAUACUCAAUUUUCGUGUUCGAGAAAGAAAAAAGAAUACCUUUUCUUGUCAUUACUGUUAAGGCUGAGGAGAAACAGGAAGAAUUUUGAGGCUUAACGAAUUACAGAUAUUCCUUCUAUAAGUGAAUUUUAUAGCUUGAUCCUGACCGCUGUGCCCACCGACUAGCGAAACCUGAGAUACCUGCUUAUGAACACGCUUCUUUAUCACUUCAAAUUUCUUAUUUUCUGUUCUCUAAAUUCAUAUUCAUAAAAUGUCAAUUUUAAUGAAUUUAAGAGAGGACUAAAUAUUUGUGUUUGCAGAUGAUGAUUUCAAGAAUUGUUUUUUCUGAUGAAUUACAGUGCCAACUUGGUUGAUUAUAGUUGCUUUUUUCUGCAUUUUUAAAGUCUUUUUAGCUUUCUAAUAAUGUUUUAAAGAAGGAUUUCACCUCAGGUCUGACAGUAUUCAAAUGUUUAGUGAAUCAACUACCUCUUGGAUAUGGGAUUGUCUAAGAAAAAUGUGUGCUCAUUGAGCUAUAGAUUCUCUCCACUUCUGCAGCUACAGUAUUGAGCUUGUUAUGAAACCAAAGCUUGAAUUUCCGUUAAGAAUCAUAAAAAGCCACUCAAAGCAUGUUGUAUAAUAUCCAAGGUACUUCAGUUAUUCACUGAAAGGGAUCAAGGUAAUAUAAUGCCACGGUUUUAUAUACUUCAGAGUAGAAACCUGGAUUGUAGUUUGACAGACAUGCUUGCAAAAAAUAGAUUUUUUUUGUGGAAAUAGGAAGAUUGCUUGUGACAGAUCUACAAUCAAGCAAAGGUGCCUAAAUUUUGGACUCAUACCAAGUGCUAGCCAUCUUAGGAGAUCCAAUUAUGCAGUAUUCAGCGUUUAGAAGUUUUACCACUGGUAAAUUGUUGUAGAAAAAUAGCAUGUACUGCUUGACCUGGAAAUAUGUGGAAGGGUGUAUUUAGAGUGGCAGUCAAUGUACAUGUAUAACUCAAAGAAGACGGUGAGACAUGUAUGUUAAUUUGUUUGCAUGUCUUUCAGAUUUAGAGAAUUUUGAUAUGUUAAUUUGUCUGUCAUGUUCUUUCAGGUUUAGAAUGCAGAUAAACAGAGGAAGUUCAAAAUAGGUGUGGGUGAUUACAACAGAAAACUCAGAUUGUUUGACACCUUUGUCUAGAAGCUAACAUGAAUAAUUGGAGGACACAAUCCUCACAGAAGUAUAAUCCAUUCACAAUAAAUUGAAGCAUCUUCAAUUUCCACUCUGAUGUCCCCACGGUAUAGCCAGGGCAACCGUAACUCUCCACUGGGAUGUUCUUUCUCAUAGUAUUUUUAUUGGAUGACACUUGGUUGAAAUGUAUCUUUGGGAUAUCUCCCUCUUAGCACCAGACAGGGUAACCGAGAGUGGUGCGCUUUCUCAAAAAUAUAUAUUUUUUUUGCACGGCAUCUGGUUUUGAAAUGUA